RNAcentral lists this transfer RNA (73 nucleotides) under Crocosphaera subtropica ATCC 51142. RNAcentral describes it as "tRNA-Thr (CGT) (tRNA-Thr-CGT-1-1)". It matches the Rfam family "tRNA". Rfam says of the family: Transfer RNA (tRNA) molecules are approximately 80 nucleotides in length. Their secondary structure includes four short double-helical elements and three loops (D, anti-codon, and T loops). The record is from Rfam by way of RNAcentral. Lineage: Bacteria; Bacillati; Cyanobacteriota; Cyanophyceae; Chroococcales; Aphanothecaceae.
GCCACGUUAGCUCAGUUGGUAGAGCACAUCACUCGUAAUGAUGGGGUCAUCGGUUCAAGUCCGAUACGUGGCU